Molecule: long non-coding RNA, 2853 nt
Organism: Apteryx haastii (Great spotted kiwi)
Lineage: Eukaryota; Metazoa; Chordata; Aves; Apterygiformes; Apterygidae
Source: Ensembl
AUGCACACUCAGYCUGCAUCCCUGUGCACACACAUUCACACGCACCCCGCAUGCCUGCAUAUGCAUGCACAUGCACCCUGCACAUGCACGUGUAYCCCACGCAUCUGCGCACAUGCGAUGCAGCCCUGGAGCAGGCAGGCAGCCUCGCGCACACCUGCCCAUGCACACGCUGGCCUGUCCCGCGCGCACGGGGGCGGUUCCUGCGCCCUCACCUGCGACGACGUACAUGGCGGUGCCCUCGUCGCCCUCGGCCAGCACGGUGUCGCCAGGGCCAUGCUGCACGGGGGCGAAGCUCUGCGCCAGCGCCUGGGGGCAGCCCUGGCCCAGGCGCCGCAGGAAGGCGCUGCGGCUCACCGCCUCGGCGAUCAGGCUGCAGUCCCUGCGGGGCGAUGGGCAGGGCAGCCCCGCUGCACCCCACAGAGCACCCCGCGGUGCAUCCUGCACUGCACCCUGCACUGCACCCCGCACUGCACCCUGCACUGCACCCCAUGGAGCACCCCACGGUGCACCCCACACUGCACCCUGCACUACACCCCAUGGUGCACCCGUGGUGCAUCCCGCGCUGCAUCCCGCGCUGCACCCCGCACUGCACCCGCAUCCCCGCCGGCCGCCCCCCCGUACCUGGGCGACAGGGGCGACGCAGGCGCCUGGAGCUCAGCGUCGCUGGCGAGGGGCUCGGGCACGAUGGGCUGCGCCCGGCUGCCCCGCCGCCCCCGGGGCUGCUCCGCGUCCUCGUGCUGCGCGGCCGGGGGCUCCCGCUGCCCGGCGCCUACGGAGACGGGGUGUGACGGAACAGGCGCCGGCACUGGGCACCUGGCACUGCCAGCAGUGCCAGCACCCAUCCCGCGGCACGGCGAGCCCUUACCUGGCUCCAGCGGGCGGCCGGCCCGCGCCACGCUCCGCAGGAAGACCCGCUCCUCCUGCAGCCGCAGCUCCCGCAGCCGCUGGUCCAUCCCGGCGCCACCGAGGGAUCCGGGCACCGCGCCAGGCUGCGGGACGGCGGCCUCUGCCCUGGGCUCUGUCCCGGCGGUGCCGUGCUACGGGGAGGAAGGGGGCGUUCUCGAUGGCACGGGGGUGGCCCCGCACAGCACUGCAUUGCCCGCCCGGGCACGGCGCUGCCCGCACUGCCUUGGCACUGCACAGUCUCUGCACUGCACAGCUGGGCAUGGCACUGCCCGCACUGCCUUGGCACUGCAUUGCCCCCGCACGGCCUGGCUCAGCACUGCCUCCGCACUGCACAGCACACCUCAGCACUGCGCUGCCUCCACCCGGUGCGGCUGGGGCCUGGCAGUGCCGGGCGCUCCGUCCUUGCCGCACCGCCUUGGCCCUGGGCCCGGUGGCCCCGCGGCUCCCCGGGCACUGUGGGGCCGGGCUGGCGCUGAGGGGCCUGGCAGGGGGCCACAGCCCCCCCGAGCCGCCGGCAGGGCCUGCCCAUCCCCAGCCGUGCUGCAGCCCUGCGCRGGGCCCUGCGCYGCCUGCACGGGCUCGCCCCGCUCCCGGGCAAAGGUUGUGCCGUGUGACGGGCAGGCGCCGAGCUGGGCUCGGACCCGGCCCCCCAGCACCAGGACCCCAGUGGAACCGGCACUGCGGGCGCCGCGGGGGGCCGGGGGUGGCCACCCUCGUUGGGGCCAGCUCGGCACCCUGCGCCGCUGCACCCGCUGCACCCACUGCACCCACUGCACCUGCUGCACUCACUGCACUCACUGCACCCGCUGCAGUGCCCAGAGGAGCCCCCAGCCCCCGCGCCUCCCCUGCAGCACUGCUGCCCUACCUGCGCCGCCAGGCUGGCGAUGGGCUCGCGUCCCGCGUCCUGCGCCCCGCACCCCGCUGCCGGCCCCACUGCCGGCCCCGCCGCACCCGGCCCGUGACACAUUAACCAGCGCCUGCUUGCGCCCGCGGCACCCUGCUCCGGCGCAGGACGAGCCCAGGUCCGGCGUGGCAGCACCUGCGCGCUGGCGCCUGCGCCCUGACGGCACCCGGGGCCGCGGGGCUGGGACACGGCUGGGUGCAUUGCACUGCUCGCCCACUGCAUUGCUCCAUUGCACUGCUUGUCCACUGCACUGCUCCACCAUUGCACUGCUCGCCCACUGCACUGCUCAGACUGCCACACUGCUCGCCCCACUGCACCACUCACCACUACACUGCUCACCCUGUCACACUGUUCAGCCCACUGCACUGCUCACCCCACCUCUCCCUCUCACCCCACUGCUGCUCUCGCCCCACUGCACCUCUCACCCCAUCACACCGCUCRUCCUGCCCCUCCUCACCCCGUUGCCUCUUGCUGCGUUGCCACCGCUCAUCCUGCCCCGUCCCCUGCUCGCCUGUCACAGCCCCCCCCGUCACCGCGUGUCCCAGACGUGCCUGGGUGGCUCCAGGCUCCCCAGGGCUGCAACGGCCGCAGCUCCCUGCACCAGGGCCGGCCCCUUCCCGGGGGCUGCCCCAGCCCCCAGCCCCGGCCCCCAGCCCUGCCACCCCCCCGGGCCAGCCCUGCGCCAACGUGGCCGACCUUGGACCCUUCGGCGGCCCCGUCCCCCGUCCCAGCUGCCAGCUCCCGCCCCGGUGCCUGUGCAAGCACUGCGCGUGCAAGAGGGGUGUGCAAGCGGUGUGUGUGCAAGCAGUGUGCAUGCGACGUGCGCAUGCGAGCGGUGCGCUGUACAAGCGCUGUGCGUGCGAGAGGGGUGGGGAGGCGGCGUGCACGUGACAGCGUGCAUGCACUGUGUCAGCGUGCGGCCAGCGCGCGUGCAGUGCGUGUGCAAUGUGCAUCCACUGCCAGUGUGCGGCCAGCGCGUGUGCAGUGCGCAUGCGCCGUGUGCGUGCGGCGGCGCGGGCAGAACACCCCGCGCCGCACCCCGG